UACGAAGGGGGCUAGCGUUGCUCGGAAUUACUGGGCGUAAAGCGCACGUAGGCGGUCUUUUAAGUCGGGGUGAAAUCCUGGAGCUCAACUCCAGAACUGCCUUCGAUACUGGAAGACUUGAGUCCGGGAGAGGUGAGUGGAACUGCGAGUGUAGAGGUGAAAUUCGUAGAUAUUCGCAAGAACACCAGUGGCGAAGGCGGCUCACUGGCCCGGUACUGACGCUGAGGUGCGAAAGCGUGGGAGCAACAGG
This 250-nucleotide ribosomal RNA is filed under the name uncultured bacterium. Its description in RNAcentral is "partial 16S ribosomal RNA". It matches the Rfam family "Bacterial small subunit ribosomal RNA", at positions 524 to 776 of the family's 1533-position model. The record is from RNAcentral.